GGCCUAAUACAUGCAAGACGAACGGUAAGUUGAGUAGCAAUACUUAGCCAAGAGUGUCGUACGGGUGCGUAACACGUAUGCAACCUACCCUAUACAGGAGGAUAGCCUAGGGAAACCUGGAUUAACCCUUCAUAGUAUUAUUGGAUGGCAUCAUUUGAUAAUUAAAACUGAGGUGGUAUAGGAUGGGCAUGCGUCUGAUUAGUUAGUUGGCGGGGUAAUGGCCCACCAAGACGAUGAUCAGUAGGGGUUCUGAGAGGAAGAUCCCCCACACUGGCACUGAGAUACGGGCCAGACUCCUACGGGAGGCAGCAGUAGGGAAUAUUGGUCAAUGGAUGCAAGUCUGAACCAGCCAUGCCGCGUGCAGGAAGAAGGCCUUCUGGGUUGUAAACUGCUUUUGCCAGGGGAUAAAAUUUCCAUGCGUGGAAAACUGAAGGUACCUGGUGAAUAAGCCACGGCUAACUACGUG
Molecule: ribosomal RNA, 466 nt
Filed under: uncultured bacterium
Lineage: Bacteria
Description: bacterial SSU rRNA
Rfam family: Bacterial small subunit ribosomal RNA
Source: RNAcentral